RNAcentral lists this small RNA (507 nucleotides) under uncultured Diversispora. Its description in RNAcentral is "SSU rRNA". It matches the Rfam family "Eukaryotic small subunit ribosomal RNA", at positions 569 to 1078 of the family's 1831-position model. Lineage: Eukaryota; Fungi; Glomeromycota; Glomeromycetes; Diversisporales; Diversisporaceae. The record is from RNAcentral.
AGCAGCCGCGGUAAUUCCAGCUCCAAUAGCGUAUAUUAAAGUUGUUGCAGUUAAAAAGCUCGUAGUUGAACUUCGGGGUUUACCCAUUGGUCAGGCUUAAUUGUCUGUACUGGUGAGAUAAAUCUCUACCUUCUGAGGAACUUUCAUGUCAUUAAUUUGGUGUGAUUGGAAAUCAGGACUGUUACUUUGAAAAAUUAGAGUGUUUAAAGCAGGCUAACGUCUGAAUACAUUAGCAUGGAAUAAUGAAAUAGGACGGACUGAUUCUAUUUCGUUGGUUUCUAGGAUCACCGUAAUGAUUAAUAGGGAUAGUUGGGGGCAUUAGUAUUCAAUUGUCAGAGGUGAAAUUCUUGGAUUUAUUGAAGACUAACUACUGCGAAAGCAUUUGCCAAGGAUGUUUUCAUUAAUCAAGAACGAAAGUUAGGGGGAUCGAAGACGAUCAGAUACCGUCGUAGUCUUAACCAUAAACUAUGCCGACUAGGGAUCGGACGAAGUUAAUUUUAUAAUGAA